Molecule: small nuclear RNA, 100 nt
Organism: Ochotona princeps (American pika)
Lineage: Eukaryota; Metazoa; Chordata; Mammalia; Lagomorpha; Ochotonidae
Source: Ensembl
AAAAAAAAAAAAAGGAGAGAAGGUUAGCACUCCCCUUGACAGAGAUGGAAGAGGCCCUUUGGAUUCGUAAGAAUAUAUUACGUUCUCAAUAAGGUUUAGU